AGUAGUAUAUGCUUGCUCAAAGAUUAAGCCAUGCUGUGUAAGUAUGAACUAAUUCAGACUGUGAACUGCGAUGGCUCAUUAAAUCAGUUUAGUUGUUUUGAUGGUAUCUGCUACUCGGAUUAACCGUAGUAAUUCUAGAGCUAAUAAGUGCAACAACCCCGACUUCUGGAAGGAUUGCAUUUAUUAGAUAAAAGUCGACGGCCGGGGCUCUGCCCGUUGCUCGAUGAUUCAUGAUAACUCGACCGGAUCUGCACGGCCAUCGUGUGCGGGACGCAUCAUUCAAAUUUCUGCCCUAUGAACUUUCGAUGGUAGGAAAGAGGCCUACCAUGGUGGUGACGUGGUGACGGAGGAUUAGGGUAUCGAUUCCGGAGAGGGAGCCUGAGAAACGGCUACCACAUCCAAGGAAGCAGCAGCUGCGCCGCAAAUUACCAAUCCUGACACCGGGAGGUAGUGACAAUAAAUAACAAUACCGGCUCUUUCGGAAGUCUGUAAUUGGAAUGAGUAAAUCUAAAUCCCCCUUAACGAGGAUCCAUUGGAGGCAGUCUGCGUGCCAGCAAGCCGCGGGUAAAUUCCAGCUCCAAAUACGCUUAUAUUUAAAGUUGUGCCAUAAAAAGCUCGUAGUUGGACCUUGGGCUUGGGUCGACCGGUCCGCCUCGCGGUGUGCACCUCUCGGCUCGUCCCUCUCUGCGGCGAUGCGUCCUGGCCUUAACUGGCCGGUCGUGCCUCCGGCGCUGUUACUUGAAGGAAAUGUAGAGUGCUCAAAGCAAGCCUACGCUCUGGAUACAUUAGGCAUGGGAUACAUCAUAGGAUUUCGCGUUCCUAUCUGUGUUGGCCUUCGGGGAUCGAGUUAAUUGAUUUAACAGGGACAGUCGGGGCAUUCGUAUUUCAUAGUCAGAGGUGAAAAUUUCUUGGGAUUUAUGAAAGACGAAACAACUGCGAAGCAUUGCCAAGGGAUUGUUUUUCAUUUAAUCAAGACGAAGUUGGGGGGCUCGAGACGAUCAGAUACCGUCCUAGGUCUCAACCUAAACGAGUGCCGACCAGCGAUCGGCGGAUGUUGCUUUUCAGGACUCCGCCGGCACCUUAUGAGAAAUCAAAAGUCUUUGGGUUCCGGGGGGAGUAUGGUCGCAAGGCUGAAACUUAAAGGACAUUGACGGAGGGGCACCACCAGGAGUGGAGCCUGCGGGCUUAAUUUCCGACUCAACACGGGGAAACUUACCAGCGCGUCCACGACUAGUAAGGAUUGACAGACUGAGAAGCGGCUUCUUGAUUCUAUGCGUGGUGGUGCAUGGCCGUUACUUAGUUGGUGGAGCGAUUUGUCUGGUUAAUUCCGGUUAACGAACGACCGACUCAGCCUGCUAACUAGCCUAUGCGGAGGUGACCCCCGCGGCCAAGCUUUCUUGAGAGGGACUAUGGCCUUUUAGGCCAAGGAAGUUGAGGCAAUAACAGGUGGCUGUGAUGCCUAGAUGUUCUGGGCCGACGCGCGCUACACUGAUGUAAUUCAACGAGUCUAUAGCCUUGGCCGACAGGCCCGGUAAUCUUUGAAAUUUCAUCUGAUGGGGGAUUUAGAUCAUUGCAAUUGGUUGCGUCUUCAACGGAGAGAAUUUCCUAGUUAGAGGCGCGAGUCAUCAGCUCGCGUUGAUACGUCCCUGCCCUUUGUUACACACCGGCCCGUCGCCUCCUACCGAUGAUGGCCGGUGAAGUGUUCGGAUCGCGGCGACGUGAGGCGGUUCGCCGCCGGCGACGUCGCGAGAAGUCACUGAAACCCUUUAUCAUUUCAGAAGGAAGGGAGAAGUCGCAACAAAGGUUUCCGUUAGGUGAACCUGCGGAAG
RNAcentral lists this ribosomal RNA (1829 nucleotides) under Hevea brasiliensis (rubber tree). RNAcentral's name for it is "SSU rRNA". It matches the Rfam family "Eukaryotic small subunit ribosomal RNA". Lineage: Eukaryota; Viridiplantae; Streptophyta; Magnoliopsida; Malpighiales; Euphorbiaceae. The record is from RNAcentral.